This 820-nucleotide long non-coding RNA is filed under the name Brassica napus (rape). RNAcentral's name for it is "long non-coding RNA (BNAP_LNC004864)". The record is from RNAcentral. Lineage: Eukaryota; Viridiplantae; Streptophyta; Magnoliopsida; Brassicales; Brassicaceae.
GGGUUUGUAGAUUUAUUUAGAGAAACACAAAAAUUAAAAAAAAAAUCACAAGAAAGAAAGUUGGCAGUGUGUAGCUUUAAAAAUAACAUUAUUUAUGAGACUAACGUGAAAAAUAUAAAAAACAUUCAACUUAAUACUAAACCCAACCAUCGAGCAUUUUGGUAUAUUUUUUAAGAUAUUAAUACACGUGAAAAUAUACUUAAUGAAGUAGAAGUUUGGACGGGUAAAUCAAAUAUAGCAACAUGAAUACAGUAAAAAAAUCUAUAAAUUAAUAAUAUUAAUGAUAUUUAAUUCAUGUAUAAAAUUAUUAUUUUAACAAAAAGUUUAGCAACAGCUUGUUUAUUGCAAAGGUGAAUAUUUGCAGUAUGACUGAUUGUCUUACCACAUCCAGUUGUAAAGUUUUUUAAAGAAUGAACAUUUAAACUUGAAAUGAGGUUUGGCAAUAAAAAAUCUCUAGGUUGUUACCAGGAAAGUAUGAGAUAUCACCAUCUAAAUUUAGUAGUUUUUCAACCCACACAAUGCAUAAAUUGUUUUACUAUAUUUUUACAUUGUACUUCAAACUAUUUUAUUGAAAAAGUAAUAAAAGUUAUAAUUUGAGUUUAAAUUGUAAAAAGCUGAUUUGAACAUUGUUUUUUAGUUAUAGAAGAUUAUACAUAUAUAUAUAUAUAUAUAUAUAUAUACACAUUUUUCUUCUAAUUUUUAGCAAUGUAUUCCUUAAUAUACUUUUGUGAUCGGUUCUUUAAUUCCCAGGUUUGUUACUUGAGUGAUAGAGUGAGGAGUAAAACUUGUGUUGUUAUGGUUUGUUUAUAAUUUCCUUGGU